Lotus japonicus is the source of this 1026-nucleotide RNA transcript. RefSeq lists it as uncharacterized. The record is from RefSeq and is a predicted model, not a curated record. The transcript is spliced from 4 exons. Lineage: Eukaryota; Viridiplantae; Streptophyta; Magnoliopsida; Fabales; Fabaceae.
UGAUUAAAAAAUAGAAAAUUCUAUCUCCAAAGAGAUGAUGAGGCCGAAAAUUUGAAGCUUAGGGCUUUGGACUUUUGUUAUAAAUAGGGGUCUCACACACCCUUGAAGCUACUACCCUCACCCAAAGAUUACACUUGAGAAGCAUCAAACUCAAAUUCCUCUCUUGUUGAUCAAGCUUUCCUUCAAUCGGGUCAAGGGUUACUGGAAAUCUGAGGCUCUCAGAUGGGAUUCAAGCAUUCCCACGGCGGCUAUAGAGUAGCUAUAGCUCUUUUGUAUUACUUGUGGCAGGAGAUCUCUUUGAAUCUUUGAGAAAUGCAACCACAAGAACAGGAACCGAUGCAUCUUCCUCAAUUGCAAGAGCAGCACCUUCCUCCCUUUCAGCAUCCGCUACUACACCAGCAGCGACUUCCUUUCUUGCAGCAACAACAACUUCUGCAGCAGCAACUUAUACAACUUAUGCAACAACAGCUUACCUGGCUCCAACAACUCCAACAACACCUUACAUGGCUCCAACAACAACUGUCUCGGCUUCAAACAAAACAGCUCCAAGAGCCACCGCUCCAACAACAACUCUCCCAGGCCGAACAACAGGUCCAGCAGCUUCAACAACAACUCUUACAACUACAACUCUCCCAGGCUGAACAACAGGUCCAACAGCUUCCACAGGUACAACAACAACAACAACAAUUCCAACUACAACAACUACUACAACUCUCGCAGUUAGAACUUACAGAGCUCCAACAGCAUCUUUCGCAAAUGCAACUAGAACAAACACAGGAGCUCUGGCAACUUACCCAAGCUCAACAACAGCUUCAUCAGGAGCAGCCACAGAUGGCUGAGUUAAGAACGGGUCAAACCUAUGUUGAAGGUCCUGGGCGAUCAGAACGAGUUUCUGAGGAAGCAGGAUUUUUACCAUAAAACUUCUAAAUUCCGACUUUAAAUGUUAUCUAUCAAUUGAGCCCCAUUCACUUCAUUGACUAUGUAGUUAUUAUUUGGUGGCCUUUUAAAUUAACUCAAACUUUAUCA